GAUGAACGCUGGCGGCGUGCCUAAUACAUGCAAGUCGAGCGAACAGACGAGGAGCUUGCUCCUCUGACGUUAGCGGCGGACGGGUGAGUAACACGUGGAUAACCUACCUAUAAGACUGGGAUAACUUCGGGAAACCGGAGCUAAUACCGGAUAAUAUAUUGAACCGCAUGGUUCAAUAGUGAAAGACGGUUUUGCUGUCACUUAUAGAUGGAUCCGCGCCGCAUUAGCUAGUUGGUAAGGUAACGGCUUACCAAGGCGACGAUGCGUAGCCGACCUGAGAGGGUGAUCGGCCACACUGGAACUGAGACACGGUCCAGACUCCUACGGGAGGCCGCAGUAGGGAAUCUUCCGCAACGGGCGAAAGCCUGACGGAGCAACGCCGCGUGAGUGAUGAAGGUCUUCGGAUCGUAAAACUCUGUUAUUAGGGAAGAACAAAUGUGUAAGUAACUAUGCACGUCUUGACGGUACCUAAUCAGAAAGCCACGGCUAACUACGUG
RNAcentral lists this ribosomal RNA (497 nucleotides) under uncultured bacterium. RNAcentral's name for it is "partial 16S ribosomal RNA". It matches the Rfam family "Bacterial small subunit ribosomal RNA", at positions 28 to 507 of the family's 1533-position model. The record is from RNAcentral.